This 427-nucleotide ribosomal RNA is filed under the name uncultured beta proteobacterium. RNAcentral describes it as "bacterial SSU rRNA". It matches the Rfam family "Bacterial small subunit ribosomal RNA", at positions 355 to 774 of the family's 1533-position model. The record is from RNAcentral. Lineage: Bacteria; Pseudomonadati; Pseudomonadota; Betaproteobacteria.
UGGGGAAUUUUGGACAAUGGGCGAAAGCCUGAUCCAGCCAUGCCGCGUGAGUGAAGAAGGCCUUCGGGUUGUAAAGCUCUUUUAGUCGGAAAGAAAGAGUUGCAAUGAAUAAUUGUGAUUUAUGACGGUACCGACAGAAAAAGCACCGGCUAACUACGUGCCAGCAGCCGCGGUAAUACGUAGGGUGCGAGCGUUAAUCGGAAUUACUGGGCGUAAGGGGUGCGCAGGCGGUUUCGCAAGUCAGAUGUGAAAGCCCCGGGCUUAACCUGGGAAUUGCGUUUGAAACUACAAGGCUAGAGUGCAGCAGAGGGGAGUGGAAUUCCAAGUGUAGCAGUGAAAUGCGUAGAGAUGUGGAAGAACACCGAUGGCGAAGGCAGCUCCCUGGGUUGACACUGACGCUCAUGCACGAAAGCGUGGGGAGCAAACA